AACGAACGCUGGCGGCAUGCCUAACACAUGCAAGUCGAACGAGACCUUCGGGUCUAGUGGCGCACGGGUGCGUAACGCGUGGGAACCUGCCCUUAGGUUCGGAAUAACUCCCCGAAAGGGGUGCUAAUACCGGAUAAUGUCUUCGGACCAAAGAUUUAUCGCCUUUGGAUGGGCCCGCGUUGGAUUAGCUAGUUGGUAGGGUAAAAGCCUACCAAGGCGACGAUCCAUAGCUGGUCUGAGAGGAUGAUCAGCCACACUGGGACUGAGACACGGCCCAGACUCCUACGGGAGGCAGAAGUGGGGAAUAUUGGACAAUGGGCGAAAGACUGAUCCAGCAAUGCCGCGUGAGUGAUGAAGGCCUUAGGGUUGUAAAGCUCUUUUACCCGGGAUGAUAAUGACAGUACCGGGAGAAUAAGCUCCGGCUAACUCCGUG
This 433-nucleotide ribosomal RNA is filed under the name uncultured bacterium. Its description in RNAcentral is "partial 16S ribosomal RNA". It matches the Rfam family "Bacterial small subunit ribosomal RNA", at positions 29 to 507 of the family's 1533-position model. The record is from RNAcentral.